AGCGGCGGACGGGUGAGUAACGCGUGGGUAACCUGCCUCAUACAGGGGGAUAACAGUUAGAAAUGGCUGCUAAUACCGCAUAAGACCACAGUACUGCAUGGUACAGUGGUAAAAACUCCGGUGGUAUGAGGUGGACCCGCGUCUGAUUAGGUAGUUGGUGAGGUAACGGCCCACCAAGCCGACGAUCAGUAGCCGACCUGAGAGGGUGACCGGCCACAUUGGGACUGGGACACGGCCCAG
Molecule: ribosomal RNA, 240 nt
Filed under: uncultured bacterium
Lineage: Bacteria
Description: partial 16S ribosomal RNA
Rfam family: Bacterial small subunit ribosomal RNA
Source: RNAcentral